GUGUCAAAUGUUCGGACUCCUCGGUGUUUUUCAUACGAUACAAUGUAAAAUAUUUUGCCCCAUAACACCUAUUUAUCUUUUAACAUAAGACUUUAUAAUUCAUAAAAGGUCAUUUACAAAAUUUAAGCAGAUUCUUGAUUUUCUUUCUUUUGAUUUGAGACCCAAAUAAUACCAAUGCAAAAUUAAGGUAAAAGUCCGAGUCAGCCUUUUCCCGCCAUAUUUUAUAAAUCAAAUAUCUCGAAAAGGAGCUCCAUGACCUAUCAAUAUUUUUAGCUUAGUUUGAUCCUUUUCCAAUACUCUUCCAGCUUAAAGUAUCAAUUUUGAAUUCUUGAUUUAUUUAAUUUUACCUUAGAUCACCUAAGUACAUCCUUAAUUGUUGUUUUUAGUAUAACGAAG
This 396-nucleotide long non-coding RNA is filed under the name Mytilus galloprovincialis (Mediterranean mussel). The record is from RNAcentral. Lineage: Eukaryota; Metazoa; Mollusca; Bivalvia; Mytilida; Mytilidae.